CAGUCGCCACGGUAAAACGAGGGGAGCUAGCGUUAUUCGGAAUUACUGGGCGUAAAGCGCACGUAGGCGGCUUUGUAAGUUAGAGGUGAAAGCCCAGAGCUCAACUCUGGAAUUGCCUUUAAGACUGCAUCGCUUGAAUCCAGGAGAGGUGAGUGGAAUUCCGAGUGUAGAGGUGAAAUUCGUAGAUAUUCGGAAGAACACCAGUGGCGAAGGCGGCUCACUGGACUGGUAUUGACGCUGAGGUGCGAAAGCGUGGGGAGCAAACAGGAUUAGAUACCCGAGUAGUCCCUGUCUCUUAUAC
Molecule: ribosomal RNA, 301 nt
Filed under: uncultured bacterium
Lineage: Bacteria
Description: partial 16S ribosomal RNA
Rfam family: Bacterial small subunit ribosomal RNA
Source: RNAcentral